CACCGGAGUGGCCGGCUGGAACAGCGCCAGCGCCGCCCGCAACGGCGCCGCGCUGAUCUGCCUCGCCAAUGCGGUGAUGCUCGGCAUCGUCGUCUGGUUC
This 100-nucleotide transfer RNA is filed under the name Gammaproteobacteria bacterium. RNAcentral describes it as "tRNA-Ala". The record is from RNAcentral. Lineage: Bacteria; Pseudomonadati; Pseudomonadota; Gammaproteobacteria.